GGGGCUGUAGCUCAGCUGGGAGAGCGCUUGAAUGGCAUUCAAGAGGUCAGGGGUUCGAAUCCCCUCAGCUCCA
Molecule: transfer RNA, 73 nt
Filed under: bacterium
Lineage: Bacteria
Also listed under: 9 other names
Description: tRNA-Ala
Rfam family: tRNA
About the family: Transfer RNA (tRNA) molecules are approximately 80 nucleotides in length. Their secondary structure includes four short double-helical elements and three loops (D, anti-codon, and T loops).
Source: RNAcentral